Camellia sinensis is the source of this 418-nucleotide non-coding RNA. The record is from RefSeq and is a predicted model, not a curated record. NCBI's taxonomy places the organism in Eukaryota, Viridiplantae, Streptophyta, Magnoliopsida, Ericales, Theaceae.
UGAAAUUUGCAUUACCCUGCAUCUUUUGCGGCCCGAGAAUCUGCUUCUAGACUCAUUUGGUGUUCUUAAGGUUUCAGACUUUGGAUUGAGUGCAUUUUCCCAGCAAGUGCGGGAAGACGUGCUGCUUCACACUGCCUGUGGAACCCCAAAUUAUGUUGCUCCUGAGGUGCUCACUAAUAAAGGUUAUGAUGGUACAACAGCUGAUAUAUGGUCUUGUGGGGUCAUUCUGUUUGUUCUUAUGGUUUGAUACUUACCUUUUGACGAGCCGAACCACAUGGCUUUGAAAGCAUUCAAGAACUUAGUUUUUUCAAGUUUUUUUAAAUUUUUUAAUAUAUGUAAUCACAGUUAAAUUUUUUUUAUUAAUUUCUUUGUAUAUACUUUUGAACAUUUAACUUUCAUUUAUGAAAUAUAUGACGUU